RNAcentral lists this long non-coding RNA (1697 nucleotides) under Amphimedon queenslandica. Its description in RNAcentral is "uncharacterized LOC109585044, transcript variant X2". Lineage: Eukaryota; Metazoa; Porifera; Demospongiae; Haplosclerida; Niphatidae. The record is from RNAcentral.
CACUCGGCACCACCAAGCAAUCACUCAAUCAGCUCUUGGGUCCAGACUAUUUCCUUUUAUAAAAAGCUUGUAAGGACCCUACACAAUGGAGUAGAACAUAUCUCGUUCAAUUGGCCGGGCAUUAAAUAGGGAAUACUUUAGGUUCAGUGUAGGAGGUAUGACUGAUGUGGCUGAGAUAAAGGGACACAGGAGGACAUAUGUUGGUCCCUUGCCUGGUAAAGUGAUACAGUUUAAAGAAAGUACAAAUUGAGAAUCCACUCAUACUGAUUGAUGAACUGGGACAUGGUACCAGGUCUCUGGUUAUUAUAUCGGAAGAGAAAGAAGCCAUUGCUCAGAAUUACGAGAUACAACAAGCCCAUUCUUUCUCUGGUUGAGAGGAUUGGCAGGUCCUCAUAGAAACUUAUGCCCUCUAGUUACUCAUCAAGUGGUACUACACAGAGAGAGAGAGAGUGGAUGAGGAACCUAUAGAAACACGUUGAGAAGAUAUUAUAUACGUAAAGCAGCUUUAAAGUCGUAUCACUAACACAGACAAAAUGAUGAUGAUGAAGAUGAUGAAAAAAGAAGAAACAAAAGAAGAAAAUAAACCUGCUACUGCUGUCUCUCCUGUCACUGUCUCUUCUACUAAUUUAAAAGAUUUUGUCAGUCAGUCUUAGUUUCUGAUCACCUCUAAAAGUAUGAUCAUGGGUUUAGCUUGGACGUCACUGAGUGUUACAACUCUAUGUGGAGACAGGCAUGAUUGAAGGGCAGGGGUUGUCUAAGUAGGGAGAAGGAAGUAUGACUACUACUGGUCAGAUGGGAGAUGUAAUGAAUGAGUCCACUGUCAUUGCUUAUGCAUUUGCUAAGGGUGCUAUCCCAAAGAACGGUCCUUGCCAAGUGUUACUAUAGUCUUUGCCCUCCUCUCACUAGCUAGUCUAUGGAUCAUCCAAUACAUCAGAGUAUUGCCAUGACUGGUAAACUGUCACUCACAGGAAAGGCAAAACACUCAGGCAUAAGCUGUAUUAUACUGCCUGAGGCCAAUAAGAGGGACUAUGAGGAUCAGCUGAUUGCAUUACCUUAAGCGGUUAGCAGUGAUCAUGGAAGGGGAAACAAGGCACAGGGCUGGUACUGGUACAUCUGAAGAAGACAAAGAGAAAUGUCAUAUAUGAUGUUUUGGAUCAACCCGAACCCCUAGAUCCUGAAACAACAGACGAGGAGGGUGGUAGAGUCCUUUUGAAAAGAGGCACUAACAAUAGUCGUAAGAAAUGAAAUAUCAUGAUACUAGUAGCGUUGAACCUCAAACCACACUGGAGGAUCAGAUCUGCAAAAGAGAUCAAUGAAGAUUAUGUUAGCUUAAUACAAUGGUGGCAGCUCCAAUGGGACAACAUAGCACAUAAAACUUUUGCUGAAUCAAUGGACAAAAAAGAAUAUGUUUCGUUUGUCUAAAGGUAGUUUCUCCUAAUGUCAUUCACUGAUAUCAGGUAGCAUCGGCCUAGGCAGGUACCUCCUUCUACAAUGAAUCAAAGAUCAACAGAUACUAAUACACUGACUUGACAACAAUGAACAAUACAAGAGACAGCAUGAAAUAAGAUAGCUGCAUUAGGAUAGAGUGAGUUGGUGACUCAUUCAUUUGACUUUAACUACUUUGAUAUUACUGAUAAUGUGUAUUAAUAUACAGUAGAUGUUAGGUUUAUAGUCAAUAAUUAUUGAUAAUACUUUAA